Molecule: unclassified non-coding RNA, 345 nt
Filed under: uncultured fungus
Lineage: Eukaryota; Fungi
Description: sequence contains ITS1
Rfam family: 5.8S ribosomal RNA (bases 1-107)
Source: RNAcentral
UAAAGUGCGAUAUCUAGUGUGAUUUGCAUGAAUCUGUGAGUCAUCAAGUUUUUGAACGCAACUUGCACCUCUUGGGUCAACUAAGAGGUAUGUCUGUUUGAGUACCUAAUCUCCAUCUUGCCUUUGUGAGGCAGACUUGAGGCCACAUCUAUCUCGUAAGAGGCAGGUAGGCUUUGAAAUAGAGUACGCUAGGAGGUGACGAAGCCCCUUGGUUAUGUGCUGGAGGCCUUUGGUCUUGUCAUAGCCAAGUGCUUAUGGUACCUCGCUGCUUGCUUGCUUCACCAAGCAAGUAGCAAUGCCACAAAAAUUGGUCUCAAAUCAGACAAGAUUACCCGCUGAACUUAA